CACAAGCGGUGGAUGAUGUGGAUUAAUUCGAUGCAACGCGAAAACCUUACCUACCCUUGACAUGUCCGGAAUCCGAAGAGAUUUGGGAGUGCUCGCAAGAGAGCCGGAACACAGGUGCUGCAUGGCUGUCGUCAGCUCGUGUCGUGAGAUGUUGGGUUAAGUCCCGCAACGAGCGCAACCCUUGUCAUUAGUUGCCAUCAUUUGGUUGGGCACUCUAAUGAGACUGCCGGUGACAAACCGGAGGAAGGUGGGGAUGACGUCAAGUCCUCAUGGCCCUUAUGGGUAGGGCUUCACACGUCAUACAAUGGUCGGUACAGAGGGUUGCCAACCCGCGAGGGGGAGCUAAUCCCACAAAGCCGAUCGUAGUCCGGAUCGCAGUCUGCAACUCGACUGCGUGAAGUCGGAAUCGCUAGUAAUCGUGGAUCAGCAUGUCACGGUGAAUACGUUCCCGGGUCUU
Molecule: ribosomal RNA, 457 nt
Filed under: uncultured Rhodocyclaceae bacterium
Lineage: Bacteria; Pseudomonadati; Pseudomonadota; Betaproteobacteria; Rhodocyclales; Rhodocyclaceae
Description: bacterial SSU rRNA
Rfam family: Bacterial small subunit ribosomal RNA
Source: RNAcentral